CCUACGGGAGGCAGCAGUGGGGAAUAUUGCACAAUGGGGGAAACCCUGAUGCAGCGACGCCGCGUGAGUGAAGAAGUAUUUCGGUAUGUAAAGCUCUAUCAGCAGGGAAGAAAAUGACGGUACCUGAGUAAGAAGCCACGGCUAACUACGUGCCAGCAGCCGCGGUAAUACGUAGGGGGCAAGCGUUAUCCGGAUUUACUGGGUGUAAAGGGAGCGGAGACGGCAGCACAAGUCUGGAGUGAAAUGCCGGGGCUUAACCCCGGAACUGCUUUGGAAACGGUGCAGCUAGCGUGCAGGAGCGGUCAGUUGAAUUCCUAGUGUAGCGGUGAAAUGCGUCGAUAUUAGGAGGAACACCAGUGGCGGAGGCGGCUUACUGGACUGUACCUGACGUUGCGGCUCGCAAGCGUGGGGAGCAAACAGGAUUAGAUACCCUUGUAGUC
Molecule: ribosomal RNA, 440 nt
Filed under: uncultured bacterium
Lineage: Bacteria
Description: partial 16S ribosomal RNA
Rfam family: Bacterial small subunit ribosomal RNA
Source: RNAcentral